CCUACGGGAGGCAGCAGUGAGGAAUAUUGGUCAAUGGCCGGAAGGCUGAACCAGCCAAGCCGCGUGAAGGAAGAAGGUGCUAUGGUUUGUAAACUUCUUUUGUAGGGGAAUAAAGGUAGCCACGUGAGGAUAAUUGCAUGUACCGUAUGAAUAAGCAUCGGCUAACUCCGUGCCAGCAGCCGCGGUAAUACGGGGGAUGCGAGCGUUAUCCGGAUUUAUUGGGUUUAAAGGGUGCGUAGGCUGUUUGUUAAGUCAGCGGUUAAAGUUUGUGGCUCAACCUUAGAAUGGCCGUUGAAACUGGCAGACUUGAGUGUGAUAGAGGUAUGCGGAAUGCGUGGUGUAGCGGUGAAAUGCAUAGAUAUCGCGCAGAACUCCGAUUGCGAAGGCAGCUUGC
This 394-nucleotide ribosomal RNA is filed under the name uncultured bacterium. RNAcentral's name for it is "partial 16S ribosomal RNA". It matches the Rfam family "Bacterial small subunit ribosomal RNA", at positions 338 to 729 of the family's 1533-position model. The record is from RNAcentral.